This is a non-coding RNA of Triticum aestivum (bread wheat), 136 nucleotides long. NCBI's taxonomy places the organism in Eukaryota, Viridiplantae, Streptophyta, Magnoliopsida, Poales, Poaceae. The record is from Rfam.
AAAGUACUCCUCCCGUCCCAAAAUUUUUGUCUUAAAUUUAUCUAGAUACGGAUGUAUCUAAUAUUAAAAAUGUGACUUGAUACAUCCAUAUUUAGACAAAUCUAAGACAAGAAUUUUUGGACGGAGGAAGUAAUAU